AAGUCGUAACAAGGUAACCGUAGGUGAACCUGCGGUUGGAUCAUUAAAAACACUUCCGGGUUGCAAAUUCAAGUAGCAGUCCGUUUCGUAAUUUUUUAUGAAAGAAGCGGCCCCCGCAAGGAGGCUACUCAACUUACCUUUUGUGAACUGUUCCCGUCUCUGGUGGGUGGGCAGCCUCUUUUGAGUCUGCCUGUCAGCGCGAGUGCGGAGCACUCGGAGCCGUGGACAACCCACCGCCCCUCGGCAUUGCCGAGGAUAUUUCUUUUACCUUUUUUCGUAAUGUACUUUCGAGUGCUACAUGUCUAACACUUACCUGUAUUAGAAUACAAAAACAACUUUUGGCAACGGAUCUCUUGGCUCUC
RNAcentral lists this unclassified non-coding RNA (362 nucleotides) under fungal sp. RNAcentral's name for it is "partial internal transcribed spacer region". The stretch from base 1 to 46 matches the Rfam family "Eukaryotic small subunit ribosomal RNA", at positions 1786 to 1831 of the family's 1831-position model. Lineage: Eukaryota; Fungi. The record is from RNAcentral.